RNAcentral lists this ribosomal RNA (436 nucleotides) under uncultured bacterium. RNAcentral's name for it is "partial 16S ribosomal RNA". It matches the Rfam family "Bacterial small subunit ribosomal RNA", at positions 29 to 507 of the family's 1533-position model. The record is from RNAcentral.
AACGAACGCUGGCGGCAUGCCUAACACAUGCAAGUCGAACGAGAUCCUUCGGGGUCUAGUGGCGCACGGGUGCGUAACGCGUGGGAAUCUGCCCUUAGGUUCGGAAUAACAGUUAGAAAUGACUGCUAAUACCGGAUGAUGACGUUAAGUCCAAAGAUUUAUCGCCUGAGGAUGAGCCCGCGUAGGAUUAGCUAGUUGGUGUGGUAAAGGCGCACCAAGGCGACGAUCCUUAGCUGGUCUGAGAGGAUGAUCAGCCACACUGGGACUGAGACACGGCCCAGACUCCUACGGGAGGCAGCAGUGGGGAAUAUUGGACAAUGGGCGCAAGCCUGAUCCAGCAAUGCCGCGUGAGUGAUGAAGGCCUUAGGGUUGCAAAGCUCUUUUACCCGGGAUGAUAAUGACAGUACCGGGAGAAUAAGCCCCGGCUAACUCCGUG